AGAAAUUCCAUAGUAGCGGCGAGCGAAGCGGGAAAGCUCAAAUUUGUAAUCUGGCGCUUUCGGCGUCCGMSUUGUAAUCUCGAGAAGUGUUUUCCGCGUCAGACCGCACACAAGUCUCCUGGAACGGAGCGUCACAGUGGUGAGAACCCAGUACACGGUGCGGAUGCCUGAUGCUUUGUGAUACACUUUCGAAGAGUCGAGUUGUUUGGGAAUGCAGCUCAAAUUGGGUGGUAAAUUCCAUCUAAAGCUAAAUAUUGGCGAGAGACCGAUAGCGAACAAGUACCGUGAGGGAAAGAUGAAAAGCACUUUGGAAAGAGAGUUAACAGUACGUGAAAUUGUUGGAAGGGAAACGCUUGAAGUCAGACUUGCUAUUCGGAGCUUGCUUCGAUUCGCAGGCCCGCAUCAGUUUUCCGGGGCGGAAAAUCGUAAGGAGAAGGUAGCAGUUUCGGCUGUGUUAUAGCUCUUUACUGGAUUCGUCCUGGGGGACUGAGGAACGCAGCGUGCUUUUUGCAUGGGCUUCGGCCCAUCCACGCUUAGGAUGCGGGUGGAAUGGCUUUAAACGACCCGUCUUGAAACACGGACWYA
RNAcentral lists this ribosomal RNA (585 nucleotides) under Sporobolomyces salmonicolor. Its description in RNAcentral is "LSU rRNA". It matches the Rfam family "Eukaryotic large subunit ribosomal RNA", at positions 71 to 669 of the family's 3401-position model. The record is from RNAcentral. Lineage: Eukaryota; Fungi; Basidiomycota; Microbotryomycetes; Sporidiobolales; Sporidiobolaceae.